UACGUAGGGGGCCAGCGUUAUUCGGAAUUACUGGGUGUAAAGGGUGCGUAGGCGGGUACUUAAGUCAGAUGUGAAAGCUAUGGGCUUAACUCGUAGAUUGCAUUUGAAACUGGGUAUCUUGAGUGCAGGAGAGGGAAGCGGAAUUCCUAGUGUAGCGGUGAAAUGCGUAGAGAUUAGGAGGAACACCAGUGGCGAAGGCGGCUUCCUGGACUGUAACUGACGCUGAGGCACGAAAGCGUGGGGAGCAAACAGG
Molecule: ribosomal RNA, 253 nt
Filed under: uncultured microorganism
Description: partial 16S ribosomal RNA
Rfam family: Bacterial small subunit ribosomal RNA
Source: RNAcentral